Molecule: non-coding RNA, 72 nt
Organism: Metarhizium acridum CQMa 102
Lineage: Eukaryota; Fungi; Ascomycota; Sordariomycetes; Hypocreales; Clavicipitaceae
Source: the annotation of a RefSeq genome assembly
GGUUGAGUAGUGUAGUGGUCAACAUGGUGGCUUCACACGCUACAGCCCCGGGUUCGAUUCCCGGCUCGACUA